This 420-nucleotide ribosomal RNA is filed under the name Klebsiella pneumoniae. RNAcentral describes it as "bacterial SSU rRNA". It matches the Rfam family "Bacterial small subunit ribosomal RNA", at positions 23 to 441 of the family's 1533-position model. Lineage: Bacteria; Pseudomonadati; Pseudomonadota; Gammaproteobacteria; Enterobacterales; Enterobacteriaceae. The record is from RNAcentral.
CUCAGAUUGAACGCUGGCGGCAGGCCUAACACAUGCAAGUCGAGCGGUAGCACAGAGAGCUUGCUCUCGGGUGACGAGCGGCGGACGGGUGAGUAAUGUCUGGGAAACUGCCUGAUGGAGGGGGAUAACUACUGGAAACGGUAGCUAAUACCGCAUAACGUCGCAAGACCAAAGUGGGGGACCUUCGGGCCUCAUGCCAUCAGAUGUGCCCAGAUGGGAUUAGCUAGUAGGUGGGGUAACGGCUCACCUAGGCGACGAUCCCUAGCUGGUCUGAGAGGAUGACCAGCCACACUGGAACUGAGACACGGUCCAGACUCCUACGGGAGGCAGCAGUGGGGAAUAUUGCACAAUGGGCGCAAGCCUGAUGCAGCCAUGCCGCGUGUGUGAAGAAGGCCUUCGGGUUGUAAAGCACUUUCAGCG